This 253-nucleotide ribosomal RNA is filed under the name uncultured bacterium. RNAcentral describes it as "partial 16S ribosomal RNA". It matches the Rfam family "Bacterial small subunit ribosomal RNA", at positions 524 to 776 of the family's 1533-position model. The record is from RNAcentral.
GACGUAGGGGGCGAGCGUUGUCCGGAUUUAUUGGGCGUAAAGCGUGCGUAGGCGGCUGCGCAAGUCGGGUGUGAAACCCCGGGGCUCAACCCCGGAACUGCAUCCGAUACUGCGUGGCUAGAGGUAGGUAGGGGAGAUCGGAAUUCCUGGUGUAGCGGUGAAAUGCGCAGAUAUCAGGAAGAACACCAAUGGCGAAGGCAGCUCUCUGGGACGGUACUGACGCUGAGACGCGAAAGCGUGGGGAGCGAACAGG